ACGUCGUGAGACAGUUCGGUCCCUAUCCGUCGUGGGCGUAGGAAAUUUGAGAGGAGCUGUCCUUAGUACGAGAGGACCGGGAUGGACAUACCUCUGGUGUACCAGUUGUCGUGCCAACGGCAUCGCUGGGUAGCUAUGUAUGGACGGGAUAAGUGCUGAAAGCAUCUAAGCAUGAAGCCCCCCUCAAGAUGAGAUUUCCCAACUUCGGUUAUAAGAUCCCUCAAAGAUGAUGAGGUGAAUAGGUUCGAGGUGGAAGCGUAGCGAUACGUGGAGCUGACGAAUACUAAUCGAUCGAAGACUUAAUCAAUUU
This 310-nucleotide ribosomal RNA is filed under the name Listeria monocytogenes. RNAcentral describes it as "partial 23S ribosomal RNA". It matches the Rfam family "Bacterial large subunit ribosomal RNA", at positions 2616 to 2925 of the family's 2925-position model. Lineage: Bacteria; Bacillati; Bacillota; Bacilli; Caryophanales; Listeriaceae. The record is from RNAcentral.